Long non-coding RNA from Haliotis rubra (blacklip abalone), 1036 nucleotides. RefSeq lists it as uncharacterized. The record is from RefSeq and is a predicted model, not a curated record. NCBI's taxonomy places the organism in Eukaryota, Metazoa, Mollusca, Gastropoda, Lepetellida, Haliotidae. The transcript is spliced from 3 exons.
CCACUGACAACAUGAGACACUUCUCCAUGGCAGAUAACUACUUCAGCGACGGUACCUUUGCCAUGUGCUAACCUGGCACCAAAGAGACGAAAGUACCUGAAUCUCGACACAAAAAUGAAAAAUGAAAAAAAGGACUUGUUGACCAGGAAAAGUGCCAUAGAAUAUGCUGAUGCUGUGUCGCAUUUGGUUGGGGUUUGUAAAUGCGCAUGUUAUUGUAGGCAUGUAUAUAAGUAAAUUAUGUAAACAGAAAAUACAUUCUCUAAAUGGAUAGAUUGUCCAGUGAAAAAAUAUGUUAUGUUAUAGAUGUUGUUAUAUGGAUGUACAUGAAUAAAUUAUGUGAACAGAGUAUUUCAGGAGUUGAGGUCUAAUUUACUGCAACAGACUAUAGUUAAUCCCCCUAUUGUUAACUAUCUACCACGGCCGACUAAACCUCUACCUCGAACAAUAGGUGCAGGCACAGUGAGGUGUCCCCGGAUUACACCUUCACCAUCCUAGAUCCUAACCAUGACCCUGCCAUCCUCCUCGACCAUCUCACCAAUCCCAUUUUAACAAUCUCGAUAUUCUAUUUCAACAGAUGAGGGAAAAAUUCAGUCAAAAUCCCCAGAAAUGAAACGUUAAACCGUAAUAAUUAUUCCAAUGUUCAGCGAACAAUAAACAACAUAAUUAACUUGCGGAAAAUAUAUGGGUCUGAGUCUCUCAAUGCUUUGUUAAUGACAAAGAUCACAAAUGUCCUUUUUGUCCCUUUUUUCAGUUUUCUUUGUUUCUUCCGUUUCUCUGAUCUGUGGAUUCUCAUGUGGCAACACAUCGAAUUCUCUGCUUGGCCCUGGCGCUGGUAUCUCAAGUGGUGAGGGUUGCUUGGACAAGUUGGGGUUCCGGUUACCUCAGUGAUAGCCGACGCUGCAAAAUCGUCAUCACUGAAUAUUUCUGGAUUAAAUGGCCAUAUGCCGCUGCAGAAUGAACAAGAAGCGGAUUGUGUCAGUUUAUAUACUGAGUCAAAAAAAGAAACUUCACAUUCUUUCUUCAGGGCACUAUAAAA